GAUGAACGCUGGCGGCGUGCCUAAUACAUGCAAGUCGAGCGAACGGACGAGAAGCUUGCUUCUCUGAUGUUAGCGGCGGACGGGUGAGUAACACGUGGAUAACCUACCUAUAAGACUGGGAUAACUUCGGAAAACCGGAGCUAAUACCGGAUAAUAUUUUGAACCGCAUGGUUCAAAAGUGAAAGACGGUCUUGCUGUCACUUAUAGAUGGAUCCGCGCUGCAUUAGCUAGUUGGUAAGGUAACGGCUUACCAAGGCAACGAUGCAUAGCCGACCUGAGAGGGUGAUCGGCCACACUGGAACUGAGACACGGUCCAGACUCCUACGGGAGGCAGCAGUAGGGAAUCUUCCGCAAUGGGCGAAAGCCUGACGGAGCAACGCCGCGUGAGUGAUGAAGGUCUUCGGAUCGUAAAACUCUGUUAUUAGGGAAGAACAUAUGUGUAAGUAACUGUGCACAUCUUGACGGUACCUAAUCAGAAAGCCACGGCUAACUACGU
RNAcentral lists this ribosomal RNA (496 nucleotides) under uncultured bacterium. RNAcentral's name for it is "partial 16S ribosomal RNA". It matches the Rfam family "Bacterial small subunit ribosomal RNA", at positions 28 to 506 of the family's 1533-position model. The record is from RNAcentral.